CGGCAAGAAUAAGCGCCUGACGAAAGGC
This 28-nucleotide non-coding RNA is filed under the name Cricetulus griseus (Chinese hamster). Lineage: Eukaryota; Metazoa; Chordata; Mammalia; Rodentia; Cricetidae. The record is from RNAcentral.